UGCGCAGCGCAUGCUUGAUCACCACGCUCCUGAAGGAAAGGCCCUUGAGGCGGGCGGUGCGGAUAUAUUGCUGCGUCAUCACCUCGACCAUCGAGGCACGCGUCAUGCGCGCGAUAUAGCCGGUGCCGUAGAUCGCCAGCGUGAUCACCGGCAGGGUGAAAUUAUAGAAGGUGAUGC
The sequence is a non-coding RNA, 177 nucleotides long. It matches the Rfam family "Ruegeria cis52 sRNA". Rfam says of the family: Cis-encoded.